RNAcentral lists this transfer RNA (76 nucleotides) under Nitrosomonadales bacterium. RNAcentral's name for it is "tRNA-Phe". It matches the Rfam family "tRNA". From Rfam's summary of the family: Transfer RNA (tRNA) molecules are approximately 80 nucleotides in length. The record is from RNAcentral. Lineage: Bacteria; Pseudomonadati; Pseudomonadota; Betaproteobacteria; Nitrosomonadales. RNAcentral also lists the same sequence under 1 other name.
GCUACUUUAGCUGAUGUGGUCAUAGCGGUGGUUUGAAGUACCAUGGAACUAGGUUCGAUUCCUAGAGGUAGCACCA